Long non-coding RNA from Equus caballus (horse), 1714 nucleotides. The record is from Ensembl. NCBI's taxonomy places the organism in Eukaryota, Metazoa, Chordata, Mammalia, Perissodactyla, Equidae.
UUAGAAUAGUUGUUGAGAACAGUGGAGGAUGAACCCCCCGCAAGGGUAAGUAGCAGAAUUACUUAAUUCAAGGCACCUGGGGCUAAGCUCAGUUUGGAGAACUUGAAUUUGUCAUGAUUGGUUUUCUCCAGCAACCCUCGGUGUUAUAAGUGGAGUAAGUAGAUUGGACUCUUGACCCUGGAUGGGCAUUUUCAGGACAGAUAAACUUGUCUAUGAAGCCCUGAGCAGCCACCUGGAUCUCAGCCUGGAUUAUUUGCAAAAGGUCUCAGUUCACAUCCCCGCCCACCCCGAAGGAGGCUUGGGAGGAAGAGCCUGCAGCUGACACCUUCCAACAACUUCUGCCCUCUGUAUUUCCUGCUCAGUGGCCUCACUCCGGUGUGGGGAGAUCCAUGUGGGUUUAAUGAACAAUUGCCCUUCACAGGCUUGAGCUCACCCUAUAAAUAGGACCUGCAUUUCAGUGGUGGGAUUUAGAUGCUGCAGGUGGUAGGCUGCAGGAAGAUUGGCCCGACCAUAGGAUUUGUCUAAAACCCCAAGUGAGUGAGUGAGUGGGUAAAAAUAGUGACCAGGGAACCUGUCUGGUCCAGGAAAUAUUAAUCAUUUCCCAGGCGCCUUGUUCCAGCAUUGCCCGGGGGCUGGCCAGGAGCUGAUUCCAAUGGAGCCUUUGGGGAUGGGGAGGUAAACUCGUGCCAGGGGUGGGAAUGCCAUUUCCCAGCAUCUGGCUUUCUUAUCCCCGGGGAGGCAGAGGAGAAGUGAGUGGUCUUCCUUCCAUGGAGGCUGUCGCCCAGCACAACGCCCCAAACUGAGAGCUCACCAAGAUCAAGUGAGGCUGAAGUUCUAAGCUUAUAACGUAAAAUUUUAGAAAAUCCGAGGAGAAGAAAAUAGAGCUCAUUUAUUAAAUCCCAGCAGUUAGGACCAAGGCCCCUGGAGCUGGGAGGGAGUGCUGGGAGGCCAGACUCCAGGUCAUUCUCGCCCCAAUAUGGAGAGACUGUGGGGAGAUGUCAUUCCCCCAGGGAGGUCUCAGUCUGGACAUGGAAACAGGAGGUUUGGAGAAAGGAAAUACGGGGUCCAUACGUAACCCACGAGGUGCCCACAGCCUCCCAAACCACACUUUGGAUGGUUCUUAGAGUCAGGAAUAGGGGGAGGAGAGACGACGGUUCAGAAGUGAGAGCCCAGUUGCUGCCUUGUCCACAGUAGGCACAACAGGAGAGGAGAAUACUAUCAGAUCAUGGAAGAUAGCAUCUGAGACAAGCUCCCCCAGAGAGACCGGCUGGAACAGGCCACCCAGCUCUUCCUUGGUAGGACUUACAGAGAGCCACAUGCAGACGGCUGUCCCAGGUAUCUCUCCUACCCAACCCACCCAGGGCUAUAUCACCUUGAAAAAUUCAUUCCUCUGGAGUUAGGCAUGGCAGGGCCAAAAGGCCUUCUCGGAGAGGUAACUCCACUCAGGACAACUUGGCCUGCAUAAAUGGACCGACAGUCUCCUUGUGGAGAAAAUGGAACCCAAGAUGGCAUGAGUUUGAAUAGCAAGGUGGGGUGGGAGCUAUUAGUGGAUGUGGAAAUAUCUGGAGCGUAGUGCCUGAUUUAUCACCGGCACUCCACGAAUGUUGGUUGAAUGUGCAUAGCAAUUUGUCUAAUAAAGGGUUUUCUUCCUUCCUUCCUUUUUUUCUCAUCAUCUAUUCUUGGUCUGUUCACAUGAAAUAUUUAACUUGGAUCC